GAUGAACGCUGGCGGCGUGCCUAAUACAUGCAAGUCGAGCGAACAGACGAGGAGCUUGCUCCUCUGACGUUAGCGGCGGACGGGUGAGUAACACGUGGAUAACCUACCUAUAAGACUGGGAUAACUUCGGGAAACCGGAGCUAAUACCGGAUAAUAUAUUGAACCGCAUGGUUCAAUAGUGAAAGACGGUUUUGCUGUCACUUAUAGAUGGAUCCGCGCCGCAUUAGCUAGUUGGUAAGGUAACGGCUUACCAAGGCAACCAUGCGUAGCCGACCUGAGAGGGUGAUCGGCCACACAGGAACUGAGACACGGUCCAGACUCCUACGGGAGGCAGCAGUAGGGAAUAUGCCGGAAUGGGCGAAAGCCUGACGGAGCAACGCCGCGUGAGUGAUGAAGGUCUUCGGAUCGUAAAACUCUGUUAUUAAGGAAGAACAAAUGUGUAAGUAACUAUGCACGUCUUGACGGUACCUAAUCAGAAAGCCACGGCUAACUACGU
This 496-nucleotide ribosomal RNA is filed under the name uncultured bacterium. RNAcentral's name for it is "partial 16S ribosomal RNA". It matches the Rfam family "Bacterial small subunit ribosomal RNA", at positions 28 to 506 of the family's 1533-position model. The record is from RNAcentral.